This 490-nucleotide ribosomal RNA is filed under the name uncultured bacterium. RNAcentral describes it as "partial 16S ribosomal RNA". It matches the Rfam family "Bacterial small subunit ribosomal RNA", at positions 28 to 507 of the family's 1533-position model. The record is from RNAcentral.
GUUGAACGCUGGCGGCAGGCCUAACACAUGCAAGUCGAACGGUAACAGGAAGAAGCUUGCUUCUUUGCUGACGAGUGGCGGACGGGUGAGUAAUGUCUGGGAAACUGCCUGAUGGAGGGGGAUAACUACUGGAAACGGUAGCUAAUACCGCAUAACGUCGCAAGACCAAAGAGGGGGACCUUCGGGCCUCUUGCCAUCGGAUGUGCCCAGAUGGGAUUAGCUAGUAGGUGGGGUAACGGCUCACCUAGGCGACGAUCCCUAGCUGGUCUGAGAGGAUGACCAGCCACACUGGAACUGAGACACGGUCCAGACUCCUACGGGAGGCAGCAGUGGGGAAUAUUGCACAAUGGGCGCAAGCCUGAUGCAGCCAUGCCGCGUGUAUGAAGAAGGCCUUCGGGUUGUAAAGUACUUUCAGCGGGGAGGAAGGGAGUAAAGUUAAUACCUUUGCUCAUUGACGUUACCCGCAGAAGAAGCACCGGCUAACUCCAUG